CGCAGCUAGUCAUGCAUGUCUAAGUAUAAGCACUUGUACUGUGAAACUGCGAAUGGCUCAUUAAAUCAGUUAUCGUUUAUUUGAUUGUACCUUACUACAUGGAUACCUGUGGUAAUUCUAGAGCUAAUACAUGCGAAAGAUCCCGACUUCACGGAAGGGAUGUAUUUAUUAGACUAAAAACCAAUGCGGGCCUCGGUCCGCUUGCUUGGUGAUUCAUGAUAACUUUUCGAAUCGCAUGGCCUUGCGCCGGCGAUGUUUCAUUCAAAUUUCUGCCCUAUCAACUGUCGAUGGUAAGGUAGUGGCUUACCAUGGUUGCAACGGGUGACGGAGAAUUAGGGUUCGAUUCCGGAGAGGGAGCCUGAGAAACGGCUACCACAUCUAAGGAAGGCAGCAGGCACGAAAAUUACCCAAUCCCGAUUCGGGGAGGUAGUGACAAGAAAUAACGGUACGGGGCCUUUAUAGGUCUCGCAAUCGGAAUGAGAACAAUUUAAAUCCUUUAACGAGGAUCAAUUGGAGGGCAAGUCUGGUGCCAGCAGCCGCGGUAAUUCCAGCUCCAAUAGCGUAUAUUAAAGUUGUUGCAGUUAAAAAGCUCGUAGUUGGAUUUCGGAGCGGGCCCGUCGGUCCACCGCAAGGUGAGCUACUGGCGGGUCUGUUCUUCUUCGCAAAGACUGCAGGUGCACUUCGCUGUGUGCUUGUCGGAUUUGUGACGUUUACUUUGAAAAAAUUAGAGUGUUCAAAGCAGGCUUUCGCUUGAAUACAUGAGCAUGGAAUAAUGGAAUAGGACUUUGGUUCUAUUUUGUUGGUUUCUAGGACCGAAGUAAUGAUUAAGAGGGACAAACGGGGGCAUCUGUAUUUCGUUGUCAGAGGUGAAAUUCUUGGAUUUGCGAAAGACAAACAACUGCGAAAGCACUUGCCAAGAGUGUUUUCAUUAAUCAAGAACGAAAGUUAGAGGAUCGAAGACGAUCAGAUACCGUCCUAGUUCUAACCAUAAACGAUGUCGACUAGGGAUCGGCGGGCGUUAUUUUAUGACCCCGUCGGCACCUUACGGGAAACCAAAGUUUUUGGAUUCCGGGGGUAGUAUGGUUGCAAAGCUGAAACUAAAGGAAUGGUGAAGCAGCUCAGAGUGACGACAUGGG
This 1136-nucleotide ribosomal RNA is filed under the name Hydra vulgaris (swiftwater hydra). RNAcentral's name for it is "SSU rRNA". It matches the Rfam family "Eukaryotic small subunit ribosomal RNA", at positions 38 to 1187 of the family's 1831-position model. The record is from RNAcentral. Lineage: Eukaryota; Metazoa; Cnidaria; Hydrozoa; Anthoathecata; Hydridae.